This 84-nucleotide transfer RNA is filed under the name Phycisphaerae bacterium. RNAcentral describes it as "tRNA-Leu". It matches the Rfam family "tRNA". From Rfam's summary of the family: Transfer RNA (tRNA) molecules are approximately 80 nucleotides in length. Their secondary structure includes four short double-helical elements and three loops (D, anti-codon, and T loops). Lineage: Bacteria; Pseudomonadati; Planctomycetota; Phycisphaerae. RNAcentral also lists the same sequence under 1 other name. The record is from RNAcentral.
GGCGACGUGGCGGAAUUGGCAUACGCGGCGGAUUCAAAAUCCGCUUCCGGAAACGGAGUGAGGGUUCGAGUCCCUCCGUCGCUA